This is a ribosomal RNA of 564 nucleotides. It matches the Rfam family "Bacterial large subunit ribosomal RNA", at positions 1819 to 2597 of the family's 2925-position model.
CGCCUCUUGAUAACCAUAAGAGGUACAGCCUGCCCAGUGACUCUGUUUAACGGCCGCGGUAUCCUAACCGUGCGAAGGUAGCGUAAUCACUUGUUCUUUAAAUGAGGACUAGUAUGAAUGGCAUCACGAGGGUUAUUCUGUCUCCUUUCCUUAAUCAGUGAAACUUAUCUCCCCGUGAAGAAGCGGGGAUACAUAUAUAAGACGAGAAGACCCUAUGGAGCUUUAAACUAUAUCACAUUUGCCAGAUAUACAAAAAUUUCAGAAAAGCAAAUUUUACCUUAGCACUAUGAUGGUAAGUUUUGGGUUGGGGUGACCGCGGAGUAAAAAUUACCCUCCGCAUUGAAUAAGAUUUUUCUUAAGCCAAAAACUACGAUUUUAAGCAUCAACAAAUUGACAUUAUUGACCCAAUAUUUUGAUCAACGAACCAAGUUACCCUAGGGAUAACAGCGCAAUCCACUUCAAGAGCUCAUAUCGACAAGUGGGUUUACGACCUCGAUGUUGGAUCAGGGUAUCCCAGUGGUGCAGCCGCUACUAAAGGUUCGUUUGUUCAACGAUUAAAACCCU